GUUUACUCUGUACUCAGAGUCAGCAACUGAAAAUAUAACGGAUCUCUCAUUCAUAAAGCACGACUCCUGUGCCUAUGGAAAGCGGGUAAGCAAAGUUUCGAAGUUCUCCAAAGAAAAAGGAAAAAAGGGUUGAUGCUCAAAUUUAGGACUAGAAAGAAAUGAGAACAUCUGUGAUGUCGAUCAGUGAUGUGAAAAUAGUACAUGGAAAUCAAGCAAGUAAAAAUGAGAAGAUCUAUCAGAAUUGUUAACACGGUUACUUAUGCUAAAAUCACCUCCAUUGAUGAAAAACCUAAUCACUAAGGUCAUUCAACUUUCACUUUGUAAAAUUGUACUCUAAACAAAGGACAUAUCCUAAGGAUGUGAAACAAAAAUAAUACAUCUUUUAAUAAACUUCAAGCCAUUUUUCUCCAA
Non-coding RNA from Macaca mulatta (Rhesus monkey), 411 nucleotides. The record is from RefSeq and is a predicted model, not a curated record. Lineage: Eukaryota; Metazoa; Chordata; Mammalia; Primates; Cercopithecidae.